AGUGAGAAUGCCGGAAUGAGUAGCGAGAAUUAUGUGAGAAUCAUAAUGGCCGAAAGACUAAGGUUUUAGAAGGAAGGUUCGUCCGCUUCUAGUUAGCCGGGAGCUAAGGCGAGGCCGAGAGGCGUAGUCGAUGCACAUACGGUUGAGAUUCCGUAGCCACCUAAUAUUUAAACUAAAUGACACAUGUGAAGGGCAUGACCCGGGCGUUGGUUGCCCCGGGCGAAAGGGACUGAAAAUAAGUAGGGAAGCAUGCUUGAAUCGUGGCGAGAAAAGUUUAGUGUAUAUAAAUUGGGUGCCCGUACUGCAAACCGACACAGGUAGUCAGGAAGAGGAUUCUAAGGCCAUCGGGAGAAGGGUUGUUAAGGAACUCGGCAAAUUGACCCCGUAACUUCGGGAAAAGGGGUGCUCACGAAAGUGAGCCGCAGUGAAUAGGUCCAGGCGACUGUUUAUCAAAAACACAGCUCUCUGCUAAAUCGCAAGAUGACGUAUAGGGGGUGACACCUGCCCGGUGCUGGAAGGUUAAGAGGAGGAGUGCAAGCUCUGAAUUGAAGCCCCAGUAAACGGCGGCCGUAACUAUAACGGUCCUAAGGUAGCGAAAUUCCUUGUCGGGUAAGUUCCGACCCGCACGAAUGGUGUAACGAUCUGGACACUGUCUCAACAACCCACCCGGCGAAAUUGUAGUACCGGUGAAGAUGCCGGUUACCCGCGGCAAGACGGAAAGACCCCAUGGAGCUUUACUGUAGCCUAAUAUUGGGUUUUGGUAUUCUAUGUACAGGAUAGGCGGGAGACUUGGAAGUAAGUGCGCCAGCACUUAUGGAGUCGCCCUUGGGAUACCGCUCUUAGAGUACUGAAAUUCUAACCUGCGGCCUUGAAUCAGGUCGGGGGACAUUGUUAGGUGGGCAGUUUGACUGGGGCGGUCGCCUCCGAAAGAGUAACGGAGGCGUUCAAAGGUUCGCUCAGCAUGGACGGAAACCAUGCCUCUGAGUGCAAACGCAAAAGCGAGCCUAACUGCGAGACUGACGGGUCGAGCAGUAACGAAAGUUGGAGUUAGUGAUCCGGCGGUAUGUGAGUGGAAAUGCCGUCGCUCAACGGAUAAAAGCUACCCUGGGGAUAACAGGCUGAUCUCCCCCAAG
This 1133-nucleotide ribosomal RNA is filed under the name human gut metagenome. Its description in RNAcentral is "bacterial LSU rRNA". It matches the Rfam family "Bacterial large subunit ribosomal RNA", at positions 1287 to 2496 of the family's 2925-position model. The record is from RNAcentral.